GAUCGUGUGGUUGGGCUUGAGCAGCACCGUGUUCUCGUCGACGAACGGGCCGUCGGCCGGUUCGACGCCGGUCAUGGUCA
RNAcentral lists this transfer RNA (80 nucleotides) under Paractinoplanes toevensis. Its description in RNAcentral is "Actinoplanes toevensis tRNA-Glu". The record is from RNAcentral. Lineage: Bacteria; Bacillati; Actinomycetota; Actinomycetes; Micromonosporales; Micromonosporaceae.